GACGAACGCUGGCGGCGUGCUUAACACAUGCAAGUCGAACGGAAAGGCCCUGCUUUUGUGGGGUGCUCGAGUGGCGAACGGGUGAGUAACACGUGAGUAACCUGCCCUUGACUUUGGGAUAACUUCAGGAAACUGGGGCUAAUACCGGAUAGGAGCUCCUGCUGCAUGGUGGGGGUUGGAAAGUUUCGGCGGUUGGGGAUGGACUCGCGGCUUAUCAGCUUGUUGGUGGGGUAGUGGCUUACCAAGGCUUUGACGGGUAGCCGGCCUGAGAGGGUGACCGGCCACAUUGGGACUGAGAUACGGCCCAGUCUCCUACGGGAGGCAGCAGUGGGGAAUAUUGCACAAUGGGCGGAAGCCUGAUGCAGCAACCCCGCGUGCGGGAUGACGGCCUUCGGGUUGUAAACCGCUUUCGCCUGUGACGAAGCGUGAGUGACGGUAAUGGGUAAAGAAGCACCGGCUAACUACGUG
RNAcentral lists this ribosomal RNA (468 nucleotides) under uncultured bacterium. Its description in RNAcentral is "partial 16S ribosomal RNA". It matches the Rfam family "Bacterial small subunit ribosomal RNA", at positions 28 to 507 of the family's 1533-position model. The record is from RNAcentral.